AUGUGUAAUGUUUGGGGACAAACUGAAAAUGGGAGAAGAACCCAAAGAAGGCAGAGAGAGGCACACGGUGAGGAGAAGCUGUCGUCUUCUUCCUCCGACAAACUCUUUGCCGCCGGCGUGCGGGGAAGCUGCGGUGGGCCGGUAAGAACCUACGCCCGCCACCUGUUCGGCCAAAUGUCUCACCGGCGCAAGACCACAAGGGCAUCGCCUUCGAGCACCGGAGACCACCUCAGCGCCCUCCCGGAUUCCGUGCUGCAGCACGCGCUUGGCUUCCUUGAGGGGCGGGAAGCCGUGCGGACGUGCGUGCUCGCCCGGCGCUGGCGCCACGUCUGGAGGCUCAUCCCUCGCCUGCGCAUCACCGACGUCGACGCGUUUCGGAGUGUCGAGAAGCUGAACGAGUUUGUGGACCAGCUGCUUCUGCCCCGCGACCGCGGCUCCGCACUGGACGAGUGCGAGUUUGAUCUCCGCGGGUUCUUGCGGCUGGAGGACGCACGAAUUGACCGCUGGAUCCGCCGUGUUUUGAAGUGCCAUACCCGGUUGCUGCAAGUCCAGCUCUACACUAAUCUACCAGCCACUGCAGAGCCAUUUCAAUCGUUCGUCAAACUGGCCAACCGACCUCUCUUCUCCCGGCACCUGUGGCGAUUAGAGCUCAAUGGCCUCUGCUUGGAAGGUGGCUUGCUUGAUUUUUCGAGCUGCUCGGUGUUGAAAGAUCUGAAGAUCACUAAUGGUGUCGUCUCUACUGAUCAGAUCCUGUCCCAAUCCUUGAAACAACUUACCAUCAUUGGUUGUGAGCUUUGUUGGCAAUUCCACCCAACUCUUAUAUCUGCUCCAAGUCUUAUUUCACUGCAGCUAGAUGAUUAUGUCGGUGUGACUCCAGUCCUUGAAAGCAUGCCAUUGCUAGAAACUGCAACUGUGAAUCUUGGCCAUCAAAAUGAGCAAUAUUGUGAUUUCUGUGAUAAAGGUGGCUUUGGAGAUUGUGAAUGUGGGAUGUGUUAUAUGUAUCCAGACAAUGAUUGUACACCCGACGUCUCUGUUCAUCUUAUGGGUCUGUCUAGUGCUACAUGUUUGGAAUUGAUAGCUUCCUCUCAAAUGGUUACGUUCAGAAGGGAUCUUCGAUACUGUCCUGCAUUCAGUAAGCUAAAAUCUUUGUUACUCAGUGACUGGUGUUUAGUUGCUGACUUCCAAACACUACUGUACUUUCUCCAUUACACACCACUUCUAGAGAAACUCACUCUUCAAGUCUGUCAGAAACCCAAAUCCAAUAUGGAAUUAGAAGGCAGUGACUUUUUGGAACAAUCCCUUGCGCUGAAGUACCUUAAGACAGUGGAAGUUAAAUGUCAAAUGAUUGAUGAGCAGAUUCAUAAUAUUUUGAAGAUCUUGAGCUUCAGCAGCAAAUCCCUGGAGAAAAUUAAUGUCCAAAAGCUGUAUACUAGUUACUGGUAUGGUGGUCGAUACUACUGCAUGUUAUGUUGUGUAGAGCAUACUGGAGGAUCUCUAGAAGCUGCAUAUUAG
Molecule: ribosomal RNA, 1512 nt
Filed under: Triticum aestivum (bread wheat)
Lineage: Eukaryota; Viridiplantae; Streptophyta; Magnoliopsida; Poales; Poaceae
Description: partial small subunit ribosomal RNA
Source: RNAcentral